UACGUAGGGGGCUAGCGUUGUCCGGAAUCAUUGGGCGUAAAGCGCGUGUAGGCGGCCCGGUAAGUCCGCUGUGAAAGUCGGGGGCUCAACCCUCGGAUGCCGGUGGAUACUGUCGGGCUAGAGUGCGGAAGAGGCGAGUGGAAUUCCUGGUGUAGCGGUGAAAUGCGCAGAUAUCGGGAGGAACAUCGAUGGCGAAGGCAACCACCUGGGCCUGAACUGACACUGAGACACGAAAGCGUGGGGAGCAAACAGG
Molecule: ribosomal RNA, 253 nt
Filed under: uncultured bacterium
Lineage: Bacteria
Description: partial 16S ribosomal RNA
Rfam family: Bacterial small subunit ribosomal RNA
Source: RNAcentral